Budorcas taxicolor (takin) is the source of this 108-nucleotide small nuclear RNA. The record is from RefSeq and is a predicted model, not a curated record. Lineage: Eukaryota; Metazoa; Chordata; Mammalia; Artiodactyla; Bovidae.
GUGCCAGAAGCUUCAAUAGCACAUACACUAAAACUUGAAUGAUACAGAGAUUAGCAUGGCCCCUGUGCAAGGAUGACACACAAAUUCGAAAAAGCGUUUCAUAUUUUU